AUUGCCUUAGUAACGGCGAGUGAAGCGGCAAUAGCUCAAAUUUGAAAUCUGGCUCUUUCAGAGCCCGAGUUGUAAUUUGUAGAAGAUGCUUUGAGUGUGGUUCCGGUCUAAGUUCCUUGGAACAGGACGUCAUAGAGGGUGAGAAUCCCGUACGUGACUGGGUGCCUUCGCUCGUGUAAAGCUCUUUCGACGAGUCGAGUUGUUUGGGAAUGCAGCUCAAAAUGGGUGGUAAAUUUCAUCUAAAGCUAAAUAUUGGCCAGAGACCGAUAGCGCACAAGUAGAGUGAUCGAAAGAUGAAAAGCACUUUGGAAAGAGAGUUAAACAGUACGUGAAAUUGUUGAAAGGGAAGCGCUUGCAACCAGACUUGCGGGCGGUUGAUCAUCCGAGCUUUUGCCCGGUGCACUCGAUCGUUCUCAGGCCAGCAUCGGUUUUGGUGGGCGGAUAAAGGCCUUGGGAAUGUAGCUUCUUUCGGGGAGUGUUAUAGCCCUCGGUGCAAUGCGCCCUACCGGGACCGAGGACCGCGCUUCGGCUAGGAUGCUGGCGUAAUGGUUGUAAGCGACCCGUCUUGAAGCCUACGGACC
RNAcentral lists this ribosomal RNA (581 nucleotides) under Paragaeumannomyces microappendiculatus. RNAcentral describes it as "partial large subunit ribosomal RNA". It matches the Rfam family "Eukaryotic large subunit ribosomal RNA", at positions 74 to 667 of the family's 3401-position model. Lineage: Eukaryota; Fungi; Ascomycota; Sordariomycetes; Chaetosphaeriales; Chaetosphaeriaceae. The record is from RNAcentral.